This 76-nucleotide transfer RNA is filed under the name Acetobacterium wieringae. RNAcentral describes it as "tRNA-Asn". It matches the Rfam family "tRNA". From Rfam's summary of the family: Transfer RNA (tRNA) molecules are approximately 80 nucleotides in length. Their secondary structure includes four short double-helical elements and three loops (D, anti-codon, and T loops). The record is from RNAcentral. Lineage: Bacteria; Bacillati; Bacillota; Clostridia; Eubacteriales; Eubacteriaceae.
UCUCACAUAGCACAAUUGGUAGUGCAGUUGGCUGUUAACCAAAAGGUUACAGGUUCGAGUCCUGUUGUGAGAGCCA